UACGUAGGUGGCGAGCGUUGUCCGGAAUUACUGGGUGUAAAGGGCGCGUAGGCGGGGCUGCAAGUCAGAUGUGAAAUCCUGGGGCUCAACCCUGGGGCUGCAUUUGAAACUGUAGUUCUUGAGUGCAGGAGAGGGAAGUGGAAUUCCUAGUGUAGCGGUGAAAUGCGUAGAUAUUAGGAGGAACACCAGUGGCGAAGGCGGCUUCCUGGACUGUAACUGACGCUGAGGCGCGAAAGCGUGGGGAGCAAACAGG
RNAcentral lists this ribosomal RNA (253 nucleotides) under uncultured bacterium. RNAcentral's name for it is "partial 16S ribosomal RNA". It matches the Rfam family "Bacterial small subunit ribosomal RNA", at positions 524 to 776 of the family's 1533-position model. The record is from RNAcentral.